RNAcentral lists this ribosomal RNA (207 nucleotides) under uncultured bacterium. Its description in RNAcentral is "partial 16S ribosomal RNA". It matches the Rfam family "Bacterial small subunit ribosomal RNA", at positions 568 to 774 of the family's 1533-position model. The record is from RNAcentral.
CGUGUAGGCGGUCAGGCAAGCGGUAUGUGAAAUCCCGAGGCUCAACCUCGGAACUGCGUACCGAACUGCCAGACUAGAGGACAGGAGGGGGAUGUGGAACUCUAGGUGUAGCGGUGAAAUGCGUAGAUAUCUAGAGGAACGCCGGUGGCGAAAGCGACAUCCUGGCCUGUAUCUGACGCUGAGGCGCGAAAGCGUGGGUAGCAAACA